CAAUAGCGUAUAUUAAAGUUGUUGCAGUUAAAAAGCUCGUAGUUGGAUUUCUGGACUGGGCGGCCGGUCCGCGACAUGUUCGUGUGUACCUGGUGUGCUUAGUCCAUCCUUGAUGGGAACGAUGGUCACCGUUAAUUCGGUGCUGUCGGGAACAUCAUCGUUUACUGUGAGAAAAUAGAGUGUUUAAAGCAGGCGUUUGCUCUGAAUACGUUAGCAUGGAAUAAUAAGAUAGGACUUUGGUGCUAUUUUGUUGGUUGCAGCCCAAGGUAAUGAUUAAUAGGGACAGUUGGGGGCAUCAGUAUUCUGAAGCGAGAGGUGAAAUUCUUGGACCUUCGAGACUAACAACUGCGAAGACAUUUGUCCAACGGAAGUGUUCUCUUUAAUUCAAGAACGAAAGUUAAGGGGUAGUCGAAGACGAUCAGAUACCAU
This 429-nucleotide ribosomal RNA is filed under the name uncultured eukaryote. Its description in RNAcentral is "bacterial SSU rRNA". It matches the Rfam family "Eukaryotic small subunit ribosomal RNA", at positions 592 to 1018 of the family's 1831-position model. The record is from RNAcentral.